RNAcentral lists this ribosomal RNA (376 nucleotides) under uncultured Alphaproteobacteria bacterium. RNAcentral describes it as "bacterial SSU rRNA". It matches the Rfam family "Bacterial small subunit ribosomal RNA", at positions 521 to 896 of the family's 1533-position model. The record is from RNAcentral. Lineage: Bacteria; Pseudomonadati; Pseudomonadota; Alphaproteobacteria.
UAAUACGGAGGGGGCAAGCGUUGUUCGGAAUUACUGGGCGUAAAGGGCGCGUAGGCGGAUUAUCAAGUCAGAGGUGAAAGCCCUGGGCUCAACCUGGGAACUGCCUUUGAAACUAGUAGUCUUGAGUCCGAGAGAGGAUGGCGGAAUUCCCAGUGUAGAGGUGAAAUUCGUAGAUAUUGGGAAGAACACCAGUGGCGAAGGCGGCCAUCUGGCUCGGUACUGACGCUGAGGCGCGAAAGCGUGGGGAGCAAACUGGAUUAGAUACCCUGGUAGUCCACGCUGUAAACGAUGUGUGCUAGCCGUUGGGAAACCUAGUUUUUCAGUGGCGCAGCUAACGCAUUAAGCACACCGCCUGGGGAGUAUGGUCGCAAGAUUA